UAUGUGAACAUGUUACAAAGUGCCGCAGUAGACCGUGGAUGAACAGUGUCGUAUGUGUGGAAGCUGUACAUUUUGGACAGGAUGGGUUUAUAAAUGAGGCUAUAGUCGGUUUCGUAACAGGAGUCGGAGAGACUGAUUGCUUGUCGGGCCUGGAUCUCGAACCGGUCACGGUGUUAUUACACUGAUGUUAAAGCCAGUCAGCAGGCGUCUCAUAUAUGAUAUAAAGAAAUUGCGUGAAUGUUCGUUCCCUUGCGUAUGAGACGCAUAACUAAUAUUACACGAAAUAAUUAUUUUUCUCAUUUCAGUCAAAUCCAAUGUGCUACCGGCAUUUUGGCAUUGAAGGACAUUGCUUACCGGUGUGCCGAGUGCAUUUGUCGGCAUUAUUAAUGUAUAACAAGUUUUCUUUACACUGACAGGACAUUGUUCGUAUUACACAGGGAAUUACAUGGAGGUUGCUUCAGUGUGAUAAAAUAGUUGUUGUUGUUGUUGUUUGUGUAUUAUUUAAUUUAUUCAUUUGUUUUUUCAGUUUAGAACAUAUUCCGAGCUUUCAGCUUCAGCCCGCAUCAGGCCGUCGUCAGAUACAUUCUGCCUUGAAUGGGAUGCUUCUAUUCUGAUUUGCUUUUCAGGUUUACAACGCAGGUCUGUGUUACUAAGAAAAUAUUUAACGGGGCUGAUUUCCUGGGUCGGCCUCGUGCAGUUUCCUUAAUAUGUAUUUGUCCUGGUACCGACUGGAAACACAACUUGACGGUAUUUGUAUUUCAGUUUUGCUCGAUUCUUUCUACUUCAUUCUUUAGAUAGGACUUUUCCUGUUGGGACUUUUAUUCAUGUUUUUCUGUAUGUUGUUUUUUCAUAGCAUUUAUGUGUUUCAAUUUUUAAAUGUGCAUUUCAGAUACUUUGUUGUCUGUGCUGAAAGAGGUUGUCUGGUAAUAGUUAUUUUAAUAUUCUUUUCACUGUUUCAGCUAACAUAUAUGUAGAAAAUUAUUCAGUUGCAGUGUUUUAAUGACAGACUUCCUGUAAAGUUCCUGAACCAGUUGAUAUCAGAAUGAUAAAGAAAUGAUAGAUGGUACCAAUCUGUGAAUAUUAUGUCACUUUUUUCUAUAGGUGUUCCUGAUCACACUUAGAACUAUACACACACACACUCAGCUGUUUCUCAAGAAAGGCCGACACCGGUUCACAAUCUUUCUUUUGUCAUUUGCAGGCGAUGAAUUCCAUAUGUCAGAAGGAAAUUUAGAAUCGUACAACCAGUCAGCAGCUACCCAUAAACCAGACCAACCUAUUAAGUCGAGCGGGCAGAAGCUGUUAUUCCCAGUGUAACACCGCAGAAUGACGGUUAGUUUUCGGAUUACAUUUCUGUGCGGAAGGAUUAAAAAACUACACCAGACUGGUGGCCAUGACAGAUGUCAGUGGGAAAUUUAAACAUGGACUAGAUACUUUGAUGUGUAGCAAAAAAAGUUCAUCGUUGAUGGUGGUGUUUUUCUGUGAUAUAUUGACUGGGAUAGUAUUACUCUUCAAAAAUACAGAGCUGUCAAUGCUGCAAUUUUGUUGUGAAAUUCACAAUCCAUGUCCAAAAGUGCUUGUUUUACUAUACAGCAAAGAAGGAGAAAUUGUACCGGGCCGACACCAGUAAUCCGUAUCGAUCCGUACCUGAGCCGUACGUAUCGGUACGGAUUGAUUCGGAUAACUACAUUAAGGUACGGCUCAGGUACGUAUCGUUACGGAUUACUACGUUUCUAUCCGUGGUCAAACGUAGCUGUCCGCGCCGUAUGUGUGACUGUGGUAUAAAGUAGCGGGUCGGUAAGUUUCAUAAAAAUUGGACCACGUGUCGCCAGCGUUUUCAUUACGAUUAUCUUUGACAUCAAGUCAAACUACGGCAAGGUACGUUUCAGUACGGAUAACUACGUUUAGUACGUUUAACUACGGAUGAAUAAGUUUCGGCCAAGUUGGACUAAGUCACGCUCAAAUGGCUACGGAUCGCUCAAACGUUUGUGCAUGUUUAAAAGUUGGAGAAACUUGCAAGUUGGGGGUACGUCUUGAAUACGUUUUGACCAAGUGUCAAUACGGAUUGAUACGGAUUACUACUUUGACGUACGGCACAGGUACGGAUCGAUACGAAUAACUACGUUUCUAUCCGUGGCUAAACGUAGCUAUCCGCGCCGUAUGUGUGACUGGGGUAUAAACAGGGUCCUUACAGACUUUGAUAAGUAUAUAGUUUAUCUUGUCUGGGGGAGAGUUCUAAUCUAGAAGCAGGUUACGACUUAAGCGGUAUAAAACUUACAUAGAGAGUUUGUUUUGUUUUCCUUCUAAUACAAUCUAACACGACCAGAUUAUCACAGAGUAACAGCUAUCAGUGUGAGUUUUACAACUACAUUCCAGUCUUACUUGAAUAUAAGCAGCUGAAAUGUUAAGCUGAAAGAUCGGAUGCAAUGAAAUAAAAUAAAAUCUAAUUAGAAAUUAUAAUUUGAAGUACAUUGUAUAUAAAAUAAAAAUAAGAACAGAAAUGCCUAUGCAAUUCUUUCGUAAGCCAGGAGUCCAUACGUUUUCGAACCCAAUUUCUGUCCACGAGGUGAAUUCAUACAAGACUCAGUUUGUCUGACGAUAUUCAUGCGAAGUAUUGAAAUAUGCAAAACUCUGCACAACCCAAAGGUCCGACGUAAAUGAAACGUUAUUUUCAAAUUGAUAAAAUUGAAUGGAUUUUAAGACCAAAGGAUAAAAAAAAUAUUACAAUACAGGUAGACCUGAU
Molecule: long non-coding RNA, 2740 nt
Organism: Mercenaria mercenaria
Lineage: Eukaryota; Metazoa; Mollusca; Bivalvia; Venerida; Veneridae
Exons: 2
Source: RefSeq, a predicted model, not a curated record